Molecule: non-coding RNA, 964 nt
Organism: Zootermopsis nevadensis
Lineage: Eukaryota; Metazoa; Arthropoda; Insecta; Blattodea; Termopsidae
Source: RefSeq, a predicted model, not a curated record
UGCACGAGGUGUCUGCAAAUAGAUUUUUCCCACGAAAUAGUUGCAGAAAACAUUUUUCGUCGGUGUGCUUUUGCGAUACAGUGACUUUUAUCGUAAGGUAAAUUAGAUGGUUUACUUUAAGGAUAGUGAUAAUCAAUACAACUAAAAUUCACUGAUAGGUUAGUCGAUGUGUGUAGGUUAAAAUGGUUUGUAUCAGGCCCUAGUAACUGCAAAUGUCGCUCUAAUUCAAGAAGCAAACUUUGUGGCCGUUAUGUCAAAGUGUUCCUGCUUAAACAAUUCACAGUGUAGAUUUUAUUUAUACAGUGCCUUGAUAAUUUUUGUGUGGGAACGAACGUUUCAUGUGAGUGGGUACUGUUUUUGAAACGUGUUUCACAAUUUAGUCAGACAUUUUGGAAUGUUAUAUGCGCGCUUGAGUGUUUGAAGAUAUUUAACAGUGUGAACACUAGUUGUUUGUUUCCAAAUAAGGACAUAUUAAACAAGAUGUUGUGAUCUUUACGUAUGCAGCAGCGACACAACGUAAAAUAUUGAGCAACACACUUUGAAUUCUACAGUGACCGACCAUUGUUCCUUGAAGAAGACAGUUCGAUGAACGAAAGAUUGCCCAGUCGCCCGCAUAAACAGCUUAGUCAAUUCUACCACCGAAUGGAGCCCACAUUGUACUGAAUUUUUACAUGCAGGAAGGCACAGCCCAUGACAAAGACUCACAAUGGAGAUAUGUGAUAUAGCACGUGGUCUCCUAGCAACGCCUCGUCGCUUCUUCCUCUAUCGGGAGAGAGUAAAGGAAGAAAUCCUCUGGCCUUAGGGCCGUUAACUUCCAAGAUCAAGGCGGAAACACUGAAGAUUAAAUAAUUUCAUUUCGUCCUUGUGACAAAAUUGGCGACAGUUGAAGAAAUUUCCAUUGCCAACUUGACCUGUGCAGUGCGUGUGCUGACCGAUGGGACAGUGGUAUUAACCUAUGAAAUCC